This 132-nucleotide small RNA is filed under the name Escherichia coli. Its description in RNAcentral is "RtT sRNA". It matches the Rfam family "RtT RNA". Rfam says of the family: This family represents a bacterial cis-regulatory element known as RtT RNA. The exact function of RtT is unknown although it is thought that it may be involved in changing the cellular response in relation to amino acid starvation. The record is from RNAcentral. Lineage: Bacteria; Pseudomonadati; Pseudomonadota; Gammaproteobacteria; Enterobacterales; Enterobacteriaceae.
GUUUGCACUCAUCGGGGAAGGGUGAGAACCUUCGACUAAGGUUCGAUUCGAGCGAAAGCGAGAGAACGUUGCCACAGGCAACUGCCCGAAGGGUGAGGAGCGAAGCGACGAAUAAUCCUUCCCCCACCACCA